This 907-nucleotide long non-coding RNA is filed under the name Cyanistes caeruleus (blue tit). RNAcentral's name for it is "lncRNA (ENSCCEG00000008580.1)". The record is from RNAcentral. Lineage: Eukaryota; Metazoa; Chordata; Aves; Passeriformes; Paridae.
GGGGAACCUCACUCCAACAAAAAACCCCAAUCAAAACACCACACACACCUGACACCAGCAGCAGCCAGGGGUGUGGCUGUGGCCUCCCUGGUGUGGAAGCUGCCCCCUUCGUGGUUUACCUGCUCAUGUUGCUGCACUCAUGGAGCUCAUUAAAUCUCCUGCCAGUGGUCCUGGUACUGCCCCUUGUUCACCUGAUAAAAGGUAAAUAAAUUUUUAAAGGAUAAAAUUUUCUGCCUGGGAAGAGAUUCUGUUGCAAAAAAGCAACUACAUAGCGAUACUUCAUGAAUUGUUGUGAAGACCAGACCCGUAGUAUGAAAUGAUGCUCGGAGCCACUAGAGGAUAUUUUGCUGACUGGUUUGUACCUGAAGUUCACUCAUAGAAGAUUUCUCUCUUGGAAUUCAAGAUAACUCAGGCCAAAUCCAUAAAAAACCCCAAGAAGCUGCAGUCCAGAAGUAUCUCCAAGAUCACAGCAACUGGAAAACACAAACUUCCACUCUGAACACCUUGAGGAAGGCUGGAGACAGUGUGGCCCCAGCCCCAGGCUACAGCACACUUUUACUCAGCAUAGCCCAAUCACAGGCAAAUACAUCUGUAUCAAAAUCCAGGACUGUUUUAAUUUGCAUGUGUUUGUCAAUAACCACGAGUGACAAAGAAAACACAAGUGGAAUUGCUGAUGUCACACCCCCUUCACAGAAAGCAUAAGUGAUAGAAAAGUAAGAGGAUUUUGUUCCAGCUGCAUCUCCUGAAAGUCCCAUCGUUACGGAUGUUCUUCUGAGCCAGAGAUACUGCUGUGUAAUUUGUUCUGUAUCUGUAGCUGAAAUAGGUUUAUUUAAAUUUUUCAUUUAUCCAUAUUUGUCUGUUUUAAAGCCUGUGCUAAACCCUUCAUGCUUACAGAACUUCUCUGCCA